UAUCGAGUUUGAACCUUGCCAGCCACCGUAUCGAGCUAGAAAGGGGCUAACGCAGUAGAGGUUAUAAAAGCCAAAACACUGUUAUUGUAUAGUAUUUUCAUUUCAUUUAUUGUCCUGCAGCCUGCGGCGGAGCGUUUGCUCUGUACAGUAGUUCCGUACUUCUGCUCGUGUUCGUCCGCUGGCGUGAAACCGACGAACUUCACCCCCCAAAACACUUUAGGUAAGACGUUCGUUAGCCGGCGGUUAGCAUCAGUUAGCUUAGCUCCGGGCUAACAGCAGGUGAAGCCAAUCACUCGUCUCUGCUCGCUGCGGUUUUAUCGAUCACGGAAGUGUGUGGACUUUGCAGCGGGCACACCUGCGAUGCUGUCGGUCGUUGUCAGGUCGGCUCUCGCCAAAAACAGGGGCUUGUGGCUGCCCACUCAGUCUGUGGUCAGGGCCAUGUCGUCCGCAGGUGGUGCCACCUCGCCCUACACAAACCCUCGCCAUCAGUCACCCAGCCAAGUCCGUCACACACGUGGAGCUCCACCGCCCUGAGAAACUCAACGCCAUGAACUCGGCCUUCUGGAGGCAAGAAUCUGAUUCAAAUUAAGACGCCAGCAUUCGUUGUAGCCACCAGAAACAUGCAGGAGAGUUUACAUUAGGAUAAAUAAAUAACUGCUGUACGUUAGGACUGGCAAUCCCAGUUUGUGCACCCAGGACGCCUGGUUCCAGGUAAAAGAAGUUGAUAUUGGACUAGCAGCAGACGUUGGGACUCUCCAGAGACUUCCUAAAGUCAUCGGCAGCCGCAGGUUUGGCAAUUUGCGGCUAAGAGGAGCCGGCUUCCCAACUGAAAUGUGCCCUAUGGCAGUCACACGGCCUCCCAGUGGGCGGUAAGCGGACUAUUCCAAAAUGGAACAAAACGGAUGGAAACGCCAGCCAAACGGCCAGCCACCCCCACCCGUGGGCCUUUCAGCUUGAUUAAACCAGGAAUCCAUCCUGAGGUGGAGAGUUGUUUCCCCCCCCAAAAGAGGAAAAGGAUAAGAGUAUGGGAUGAAAUGAGUUGAGUGGAAAGUGGAGGAACUACUGCUGCAAAUGUCCUCCUCCCUCUGUUUGUAAGCAUGCAAUGGUGACGCAGAUGGCAAUGGGAGCAAUUCAGAGGAUGUGGCUGCCAACCCCAACAAGCGCCAGAGACAGCCUGCCCUGCUGGGCGACCACCCUCCAGAGUACGGAGGAGGUUACCAUGGCUACGACGAAAGCUAUGGAUCCCCGCCCU
Long non-coding RNA from Scophthalmus maximus (turbot), 1252 nucleotides. RefSeq lists it as uncharacterized. The transcript has 7 exons. The record is from RefSeq and is a predicted model, not a curated record. NCBI's taxonomy places the organism in Eukaryota, Metazoa, Chordata, Actinopteri, Pleuronectiformes, Scophthalmidae.